This 665-nucleotide ribosomal RNA is filed under the name Leuconostoc pseudomesenteroides. RNAcentral describes it as "bacterial SSU rRNA". It matches the Rfam family "Bacterial small subunit ribosomal RNA", at positions 65 to 714 of the family's 1533-position model. Lineage: Bacteria; Bacillati; Bacillota; Bacilli; Lactobacillales; Lactobacillaceae. The record is from RNAcentral.
CACAGCGCAAAGGUAGCUUGCACCUUUCAAGUGAGUGGCGAACGGGUGAGUAACACGUGGACAACCUGCCUCAAGGCUGGGGAUAACAUUUGGAAACAGAUGCUAAUACCGAAUAAAACUUAGUGUCGCAUGACACAAAGUUAAAAGGCGCUUUGGCGUCACCUAGAGAUGGAUCCGCGGUGCAUUAGUUAGUUGGUGGGGUAAAGGCCUACCAAGACAAUGAUGCAUAGCCGAGUUGAGAGACUGAUCGGCCACAUUGGGACUGAGACACGGCCCAAACUCCUACGGGAGGCUGCAGUAGGGAAUCUUCCACAAUGGGCGAAAGCCUGAUGGAGCAACGCCGCGUGUGUGAUGAAGGCUUUCGGGUCGUAAAGCACUGUUGUAUGGGAAGAACAGCUAGAAUAGGGAAUGAUUUUAGUUUGACGGUACCAUACCAGAAAGGGACGGCUAAAUACGUGCCAGCAGCCGCGGUAAUACGUAUGUCCCGAGCGUUAUCCGGAUUUAUUGGGCGUAAAGCGAGCGCAGACGGUUGAUUAAGUCUGAUGUGAAAGCCCGGAGCUCAACUCCGGAAUGGCAUUGGAAACUGGUUAACUUGAGUGCAGUAGAGGUAAGUGGAACUCCAUGUGUAGCGGUGGAAUGCGUAGAUAUAUGGAAGAACACCAGUG